AAACAAACAAACAAAAACUCCAAUGAUGAUCUGCAUGGAUGCAGUUCCUGCAGUUCAAGUGUAGGGCAACGCAGUUCAUUGACCUCUCUAUCAUUGCCUGUCAUUACUGGUAAAUUAUUUAAUCUGUUAUCAAGGAAAAUGCCUUAAACAUGCAAUCAUCUGUUGCUUAUUUCAUGUUCUAAAAGUGUGUGCUCAUGUCAAAUAUGUCCUAAAUUCUUACAUUUUAGCUGCCCAGUUGUGCAUAGACAGCAGCAGAAACAAACACCAGCUACACACACCUACAGCAUUUAAAUUGCAUGGAGCUUUUUCCAAAGAAGAAGUUACCCCAUCAAUAUUCUGCUUCAGCAGCAAUGCAAGGUAAAUACUGGGAUUCAGCUGCAGAAUGAAACAACAAAGCAAACCAUUUGUGUCAGACACACGAGUAGAGUAGUGCUAUUCAACAAGCUUGCAUUGAGUGGACUCAGUGAAAAAGCCUAUUCUCAUACUCGAGAAAAAGAAACCAUAAAACUAAGUUUACAAAGGUUCAGAAGAAAAACAGAGAUACAUCCGUCUCCCCUUCAGUGAAUAUGUAUUCAAAUAUCUUUUUAUGUCGUAUUGCCCAGACCACUCCACAACUGGACACAAAAAUUCCAAAAACACCAACUCUAAUUUAACUUCCCCAAAAGACAAACCCCCAAGUACCUCUUUCAUUUGAGACUGGAACAGUAACAUCUGCAGCCCAUCAGUAAGAGCUUAAUUUAGGCAUCAGUUCAGCUCAUUGCCACUCUGCUGAGCUCCUGGCUCAGAAUAGCUAGAAAGUGCAGCAGGUGAGUUUUGUUGUAUUUUCCCUCAGCAGGGGAGUGGGUGAGUGGGGAACAGACACUAAAUUUGUACUGGCUGUGGGUAGAAUUGAUAGACAGUGAGUUAGCAAGCUGAAUAGACUGAAUGUGUUAUUAUUUCUUAGAGUUUUGGUUGUCUAUCAGGACUACUUAGUUGCUUUCUCUUUGUUUUAUAGCUUACUUAAACACAAUAGUCUUCAAAUUAUGUCAUGUAAUCUCUGACUGGUAAGCAUGCUAGUGUUGUUGCUAUAUUACAUCUAUGAUAUUUUCUUGAUGCUUAUCUUAAGCACUGACUGAAGUACAGGCUGCAUACAUGCUAACCAAGUUAAGUCUCCGUGUUCUCUUCCACACUACAGAAGAUAAUUUUUAGGAACAGACUCACACUUUACUCUUUGAUUUAAACCUGUUACCCAGGGACAUUAUUACAUACAGGAUGCCUCCCAAUACUGCUGUAAGUCCCACCAUUUACUCUACAGGAACUUGUCCCUUUCCUUGGAUUUUGGCUGUUACCCUAGAUUGCCCCUUCAUCAGAAAAGAAGUGAA
Molecule: long non-coding RNA, 1361 nt
Filed under: Anser brachyrhynchus (Pink-footed goose)
Lineage: Eukaryota; Metazoa; Chordata; Aves; Anseriformes; Anatidae
Description: lncRNA (ENSABRG00000007661.1)
Source: RNAcentral